Molecule: ribosomal RNA, 434 nt
Filed under: Vibrionaceae bacterium AW12
Lineage: Bacteria; Pseudomonadati; Pseudomonadota; Gammaproteobacteria; Vibrionales; Vibrionaceae
Description: bacterial SSU rRNA
Rfam family: Bacterial small subunit ribosomal RNA
Source: RNAcentral
ACGCGAAGAACCUUACCUACUCUUGACACCCAGAGAACUUUCCAGAGAUGGAUUGGUGCCUUCGGGAACUCUGAGACAGGUGCUGCAUGGCUGUCGUCAGCUCGUGUUGUGAAAUGUUGGGUUAAGUCCCGCAACGAGCGCAACCCUUAUCCUUGUUUGCCAGCGAGUAAUGUCGGGAACUCCAGGGAGACUGCCGGUGAUAAACCGGAGGAAGGUGGGGACGACGUCAAGUCAUCAUGGCCCUUACGAGUAGGGCUACACACGUGCUACAAUGGCGCAUACAGAGGGCGGCCAACUUGCGAAAGUGAGCGAAUCCCAAAAAGUGCGUCGUAGUCCGGAUUGGAGUCUGCAACUCGACUCCAUGAAGUCGGAAUCGCUAGUAAUCGUGGAUCAGAAUGCCACGGUGAAUACGUUCCCGGGCCUUGUACACACCC